RNAcentral lists this transfer RNA (73 nucleotides) under Limulus polyphemus (Atlantic horseshoe crab). Its description in RNAcentral is "tRNA-Val". The record is from RNAcentral. Lineage: Eukaryota; Metazoa; Arthropoda; Merostomata; Xiphosura; Limulidae.
GUGCUUGUGGUGCAGUGGUCAUCAUAUUCGCUUUACACGCGAAAGGUCCCAGGUUCAAUCACUGGCAGGCACA